This 251-nucleotide unclassified non-coding RNA is filed under the name uncultured fungus. Its description in RNAcentral is "sequence contains ITS2". Lineage: Eukaryota; Fungi. The record is from RNAcentral.
AACGCACAUUGCGCCCGUUAGUAUUCUAGCGGGCAUGCCUGUUCGAGCGUCAUUUCAACCCUCGGGCCCUUGUGGUCUGGUGUUGGGGGUUCUCCUGCGGCUGCCGCAGGCCCCUAAAAAAUAGUGGCGGGCUCCGCUAUACUCCGAGCGCAGUAAUACCUCUCGCUCAGGGCGUGUGGCGGGGAUCCCAGCCCCCUAUACCAUCAUAACAUGUUGACCUCGGAUCAGGUAGGAAUACCCGCUGAACUUAA